This 792-nucleotide ribosomal RNA is filed under the name uncultured marine Prymnesiales. RNAcentral describes it as "SSU rRNA". It matches the Rfam family "Eukaryotic small subunit ribosomal RNA", at positions 441 to 1236 of the family's 1831-position model. The record is from RNAcentral. Lineage: Eukaryota; Haptophyta; Prymnesiales.
UUGCCCGGAUCCUGACACAGGGAGGUAGUGACAAGAAAUAACGAUACAGGGCUACAUCUAGUCUUGUAAUUGGAAUGAGUACAAUUUACAUCUCUUAACGAUGAUCAAUUGGAGGGCAAGUCUGGUGCCAGCAGCCGCGGUAAUUCCAGCUCCAAUAGCGUAUAUUAAAGUUGUUGCAGUUAGAACGCUCGUAGUCGGAUUUCGGGGCGUUCCGACCGGUCUGCCGAUGGGUAUGCACUGGCCGGAGUGUCCUUUUUGCCGGAGACCGUGCCUACUCUUAACUGAGCGGGGGCGGGAGACGGCACUUUUACUUUGAAAAAAUCAGAGUGUUUCAAGCAGGCAGCUCGCUCUUGCAUGGAUUAGCAUGGGAUAAUGAAAUAGGACUUUGGUGCUAUUUUGUUGGUUUCGAACACCGAAGUAAUGAUGAGAAGGGACAGUCAGGGGCACUCGUAUUCCGCAGAGAGAGGUGAAAUUCUCAGACCCGCGGAAGACGAACCACUGCGAAAGCAUUUGCCAGGGAUGUUUUCACUGAUCAAGAACGAAAGUUAGGGGAUCGAAGAUGAUCAGAUACCGUCGUAGUCUUAACCAUAAACCAUGCCGACUAGGGAUUGGAGGAUGUUCACUGAUUGACUCCUUCAGCACCUUACGGGAAACUAAAGUCUUUGGGUUCCGGGGGGAGUAUGGUCGCAAGGCUGAAACUUAAAGGAAUUGACGGAAGGGCACCACCAGGUGUGGAGCCUGCGGCUUAAUUUGACUCAACACGGGGAAACUUACCAGGUCCAGACAUUGUGA